Molecule: unclassified non-coding RNA, 306 nt
Filed under: Hevea brasiliensis (rubber tree)
Lineage: Eukaryota; Viridiplantae; Streptophyta; Magnoliopsida; Malpighiales; Euphorbiaceae
Source: RNAcentral
GUUAAAGACAAAUCAUGGCUUAAGAGGAGAAUUGCCAUGGGAUUGACCAACUCAUGUGACAUUCCAGCCUCAUCUUUUAUAAUUAAGGAAGGCAAGUUUGUUGAAGAAAGUUCUCAAAAGGUGGAGGGCAUGUCCAAUGUUCAAACGACCGAUGCUUUGAAAAUUGAAUGCAGAGGUUCACCAACAACUUACAGUUUGGAAGACAAGGACCGCCAUCACUUUGAGGAUAUGGAACUUGAUCAUGGAAGUGAAGGUCAGCAUGAUGAGAGAGCCGCUGUUAAAAGAAUUCGGAAGCCUACCAGGCGG